GGGCGCUCAAGCACAGAAAUUGAUCCACCAUGACCCACAAUGGCACCCCGUGGCCACCGAGUUGCGAGGCGACAGAAAACGAAAACUACAGCAGUGCGUGGCAUGUCGUCGCCCUUUUUGUAAUCCUGGGCUGCUCCUUGCUUGGUACUGUACUUCCGAUCCUCGGCAAGCGUGUUUCUGCCUUUCGCGUGCCCGAGUAUGCCUACGCGAUUGGAAAAUCUGUAGCGACCGGCGUGGUGCUUGGGGUAGCACUUAUUCACAUGCUGAAACCGGCUAACGAGUCCCUCACGAGCGACUGCAUGCCGAGUGCCCUCCGCAACUUCUCCAAGCCGCUCGCCUACAUCAUCUGUAUAGCCUCCGUUGCAGCGAUGCACUCCCUGGAGGCGUGCUUGCGUGUCUUUUUCGAUGGCUUUGGAGCCGUUCGCGACCUCCCCAUUGCCAGUGGGGAGAGCCAACACUUGCUGUCCGGCUCUCAAGCUGGCGGUCACCACUUCCACCCGUCCGCCCCCGCUUUCGAUAGCUGGAAGAGCAGUGGUGGCUUGCAGAUCUUGUCCGCUGUCUUGUUAGAGUUUGGCGUUUCGUUGCACAGCCUGUUCGUCGGCCUCACCGUGGGCAUGUGUGCCGACGCGGAGCUUUACACGCUGAUGUGCGCCUUGUCGUUUCACCAGUUCUUUGAGGGCGUUGCGCUCGGCUCUCGGCUCGUGGAUGCAGCUCUGACCCUGCGCACCGAGUAUGUGCUUGCUGCUGUUUUUGUUCUCUCAGCUCCCCUUGGCACUGCGGUUGGCAUUAUGUGCGUGUGCGAGCACAUAAUCAACACCAAGGGCAGUAUGUACCUUCUAACGCAGGGUAUCCUGGACUCGGUAUGUGCUGGUAUUCUGCUCUACAUCGGGUUUCAGCUACUAGUGGGCGACUUCUACGCCGAUAUGCAGUCGACCGUACACAACGUUCGCUCGCCGCGUGGAUUCCUGCUAGCGAUGCUGGUAGCCUUGUGGGCGGGCGUAAGUAUCAUGGCACUGAUUGGGCAAUACGUGUGAAAGAGUCUCGGAGAGUGAGAGCGCGCGGCUGGCUGCGUGGAGUGGGCAGGAGAGCGUCAACUUGGCUUGUCGUGCUGCCGCCUACACACACACGCACACACCUUUUCUCUGUCCCUUCUUUCACUUCCCCCCCCCAGAACACUUUUCAUCGUGGAACGUCACCAAACAAAGUCGUGACGGACUAGUACAAUGGCACGUUUCCGAACGGCGUGCGACAAGCCGUUCACAUGAGUAGCAUUGCCUACCCCCUCUUGCUCUCUCUGUAACCUAUGUAGUUGUUCGUGUGUCUGCUCGGAUGCAUCAUUUCAUGUGGCUGCACUCUUGCUGCGCUCAUUCCUAGCGUUUCCCCAUCCCUCCUUC
This 1394-nucleotide unclassified non-coding RNA is filed under the name Leishmania donovani. Its description in RNAcentral is "gene:LdHU3.33.4830(CDS-product:cation_transporter _putative)". Lineage: Eukaryota; Euglenozoa; Kinetoplastea; Trypanosomatida; Trypanosomatidae. The record is from RNAcentral.